RNAcentral lists this ribosomal RNA (254 nucleotides) under uncultured bacterium. RNAcentral's name for it is "partial 16S ribosomal RNA". It matches the Rfam family "Archaeal small subunit ribosomal RNA", at positions 474 to 727 of the family's 1478-position model. RNAcentral also lists the same sequence under 1 other name. The record is from RNAcentral.
CACCGGCAGCUCUAGUGGUGGCCAGUUUUAUUGGGCCUAAAGCGUUCGUAGCCGGUUUAUUAAGUCUCUGGUGAAAUCCCGUAGCUUAACUAUGGGAAUUGCUGGAGAUACUAGUAGACUUGAGGUCGGGAGAGGUUAGAGGUACUCCCAGGGUAGGGGUGAAAUCCUGUAAUCCUGGGAGGACCACCUGUGGCGAAGGCGUCUAACUGGAACGAACCUGACGGUGAGGGACGAAAGCUAGGGGCGCGAACCGG